UGUCCCAUACAGCUUUUGAAUAAGCUUCAAGAUUAUAUAAUCAAACCAGGAAGUAGGUGGGACUUUCAUAGUGUAUUACAACAACAAAGAAGUUACUUCAAACAACGAUCACUGUUUUUUUUUCUCUCUGACAUCAUUGCACAUAAUGGCAUGCGCGAUAGAACAGAAGAGUAUGAACAAAACGUUUUUAUUUUUUUUACCAUGAUGCUGGAUUCUCCUCUGUUUCUUCAACAAAAACCAAACAAAAAAGAAUGCAACGGAGUGAACAGUGGCACUGUUUCACCGUGGGGGGAAUUCAGACCCAGGAUACAGACACGUAACCAUGAUUGACAGAGGAAAAACAGUGAUUCCAACCACCACCCUCCUUUUGAAGCUUCCAGUCUGUUAUUCGAACUCAAUCAGCAUGACAGAGUGAUCUCCAGCCUUGUCCUCGUCAACACUCACACCUGUGUUAACGAGAAAAUCACUGUGUCACGUCCUGACCAGCAGAGGGAGUAAUUGUAUUCAUUUUGGUCAGGACGUGGCAGAAGGUUUGUGUUUUGUAUGUAUUUCUACCUUCUGUCUAGUUUAGUUUUUCUAUGUUUAGGUUUGGGUGUUGGACUCUCAAUUGGAGGCAGGUGUUUCUAGUUGCCUCUGAUUGAGAGUCCUAUAUAUAGGUCUGUGUUUGGUUUGGGUUUUUGUGGGUAGUUGUAUUUGCACUGCUCUUUGUUUAGCCUGCAAAUCUGUUAGCUGUCGUUCUGUUUCUUGUUUUUUCCCGUUACUCACUUUAAAUAAUAAUAUUAAAGUAUGAGUAUUCAGGUACCCGCUGCGCCUUGGUCUCAUCUCUUCGACAGCCAUUACAGAACUACCCACCACAACAGGACCAAGCAGCCCCAUUUUUUUUGGGGGGGGGGGGGGGGGGGGUACAAGGGCAGUUUGGUGGGGCAAGGAUGGAGCCCCAGGCCAGCUCCCCGUACCAUUUUUGGGCAGAGACAUACUGGACAGGUCCCGUGCUUUGGGGUGAUGGGUGCUGUGGCGAGGCCGGGUAUUUUCAGGCCGAUACGCGCAGUACCAGCGCCCCGCAUGUGCCAGGGGAAAGUAGGCAUCCAGCCAGUAGGGGUGAUGCCAGCCCUGCGCUCGAGACCGCCAGUGCGCCUCUACGGUCCAGUGUUUCCUGCUACACGCACUAGCCUUGAGGUGCGUGUCUCCAGGCUGGCACGUCCAGUACCAGCCCCACG
Molecule: long non-coding RNA, 1217 nt
Filed under: Salmo salar (Atlantic salmon)
Lineage: Eukaryota; Metazoa; Chordata; Actinopteri; Salmoniformes; Salmonidae
Description: lncRNA (ENSSSAG00000115606.1)
Source: RNAcentral